This 253-nucleotide ribosomal RNA is filed under the name uncultured bacterium. RNAcentral describes it as "partial 16S ribosomal RNA". It matches the Rfam family "Bacterial small subunit ribosomal RNA", at positions 524 to 776 of the family's 1533-position model. The record is from RNAcentral.
UACGUAGGGCGCAAGCGUUGUCCGGGAUUAUUGGGCGUAAAGAGCUCGUAGGCGGUCUGUCGCGUCUGCCGUGAAAACCCGAGGCUUAACCUCGGGCUGGCGGUGGAUACGGGCAGACUAGAGGUAGGUAGGGGAGAAUGGAAUUCCCGGUGUAGCGGUGAAAUGCGCAGAUAUCGGGAGGAACACCGGUGGCGAAGGCGGUUCUCUGGGCCUGUACUGACGCUGAGGAGCGAAAGCGUGGGGAGCGAACAGG